RNAcentral lists this long non-coding RNA (948 nucleotides) under Carica papaya (papaya). Its description in RNAcentral is "long non-coding RNA (CPAP_LNC005744)". Lineage: Eukaryota; Viridiplantae; Streptophyta; Magnoliopsida; Brassicales; Caricaceae. The record is from RNAcentral.
AAAUUUACGCCAUCCAUCUUCUCUAAAUAUCCUCGGACUCUCGUCCACACUCUCACUCAUUUGUCCCUCGUCUAGUGCAAUCUGCUUCUUGUCCAUCAUCGUGAUCUCACACACCAGCACUCUUUCUCACCCUCAUCUUUUUCCCUUCUCCCUCACAAUCUAGUUUAUUCCCCUCAACUCUUCCUAUUUUACAAUUAUUUACCUGUUUUGACUUCACUUCUCAGCUACAACUAGAUUUCUUUCUGCUACAUCCAUCCUUCUAACUAGUCCUUAAUAAAAUGCAUUUACUAGCAGAUUCUAACUCAAAAUCCAAUAAGUGCAACAUUACUUACCCCGUGCCUGCUUUCUUAAUUGUUUAGCCCUACGAUUUCCUCUUUUCUCUUUCUGUUAUCUCCAUCCAGACAUAUAUCCAUCUCAAAUCUCCUCUCCACUCCUUAUUUCAUAACUCUUUUUUAAAUCUUCUAUAACCAGAAACAUAUAAAUCCAAAAUGCACUGCCAUACUGAGUUUGAAGUUCGGAAUCUUCCUUACCUUUGUUCACAGUGACGUCGUUGAGUCAGUCGGCGUUUUUCUUUCUCAUUUCGCGCACGAUUUUUCUGUUAGCUCUGCCACUGUGGAAUCGCAUGCCAACCUCCCCUCUCUAUCCCUUAAAUUUUGAAUUUCAUCUUCUCUACUGUCUCACGAUCGACCUUCUCCCCCUCUCCUUCCUUACCGCACUCUUUUAUCUCUCUCUUGCUCACAACUGCAGUGUUGAUCCCUUCUCUCUCUGACUUCCUCUCUACCCGUCAAUAAGCUCUCUCUCUCCACUAAGGUUUCCUCUUUUCUUUUUUUUUUUUUUUUUAUUAUAAUCUUCGGAGGUUACAAUAUAUGUAUUACUGUAUAAAUAAUUAUUUAAAUUAAAUUUCUUUUUUAAAAUAUAUUUUUAUAUUAUUUCAAUAUCUAUAACUAC